CCGGAAACAACGAGCUUGCCGAGUUCUUUGACUGAAUACAUAUCCGCGGACACUCUGAAGGCGGCAUUCAAGAUGUUUGUAGGGUCCUCACCUCAGCUACCUCUCACAAGGUGCCCCUGAAAAAGAAAUUCAAGACGUUUGGGUCCUCAGCUCAACUGACCAAGACCUUUGCUCAUUGAAGGCAUGAAGUAAUUUGUGAUGCCCCCACGAUUGCAGUUUUUAAACGCAGAUGGCUUGCUCUUUUUAACAUGUGCGAGAGCUGGAUGGUCUUUCAACAACACUGCUCCGGGUCUUCAGCAAGAAAGGUGCUUCUCAUGCAAGGAAGAUACAGAGGAUCCUGA
Long non-coding RNA from Engraulis encrasicolus (European anchovy), 341 nucleotides. RefSeq lists it as uncharacterized. The record is from RefSeq and is a predicted model, not a curated record. The transcript has 4 exons. Lineage: Eukaryota; Metazoa; Chordata; Actinopteri; Clupeiformes; Engraulidae.